AAACAUGAGGACUAUUUGGCUGCAACAUCUGUCACCCCAUUGAUCACAAGAGUUGAUUAGAUUGAUGUGGCUGGCUAGGCAGGUGUCCCCUUCCCCUCUCUUCAUUCCAUGUGCAUCCCUCCCAAAGUCGUGUGCUCAGCCAAAGAGGAUGAUCACCACUGAUAGAGGAGGACUGGUCUUCAGUCAAGGGUGUACGAGGAGCUGCACUCCCCUGCUAGAAACUCCAAACAAGCUCUCAAUUUAGCUCAACAAAUAUUUAUUGAAUGUUUCGUGUAUGUCAGGCAUUGUUUUAGAUCGCUCAUUUGAAAUAGUGGUCUUCAAA
Unclassified non-coding RNA from Mandrillus leucophaeus (drill), 322 nucleotides. Its record names the gene 7SK. It matches the Rfam family "7SK RNA". From Rfam's summary of the family: 7SK was discovered as an abundant small nuclear RNA in the mid-70s but a possible function has only recently been suggested. Two independent studies have found that 7SK RNA binds the CDK9/cyclin T complex (known as elongation factor P-TEFb). Lineage: Eukaryota; Metazoa; Chordata; Mammalia; Primates; Cercopithecidae. The record is from Ensembl.